UACGUAGGUGGCAAGCGUUGUCCGGAAUUAUUGGGCGUAAAGCGCGCGCAGGCGGCUUCUAAGUCUGAUGUGAAAUCUCGGGGCUCAACCCCGAGCGGCCAUUGGAAACUGGGAGCUUGAGUACAGAAGAGGAGAGUGGAAUUCCACGUGUAGCGGUGAAAUGCGUAGAUAUGUGGAGGAACACCAGUGGCGAAGGCGACUCUCUGGUCUGUAACUGACGCUGAGGCGCGAAAGCGUGGGGAGCAAACAGG
This 251-nucleotide ribosomal RNA is filed under the name uncultured bacterium. RNAcentral's name for it is "partial 16S ribosomal RNA". It matches the Rfam family "Bacterial small subunit ribosomal RNA", at positions 524 to 776 of the family's 1533-position model. The record is from RNAcentral.